Molecule: long non-coding RNA, 635 nt
Organism: Cebus imitator (Panamanian white-faced capuchin)
Lineage: Eukaryota; Metazoa; Chordata; Mammalia; Primates; Cebidae
Exons: 3
Source: RefSeq, a predicted model, not a curated record
CAAAAGAAGCGAUUUGAUUAUACUUUGCCUGGGCCUCCCUGAACAGGAUCACAUACCACAGUGGAACCUCUGACAGUUUCUAUCUCUGCACGUGACUUGUCAGGGGAACUUUUCUCUGAUGCUCACACGAUGCGGGAACUUGUCACAUCUUCAAUCUCUGGGAACGUCCUCACCUGAAAUUGAAAGGUAGAACAAAGGCAGUGAAGGGUGCAAGGAUAUUAGAACUCUGUUCUGUGAGCUUUCAUGAACGCUGUGGAAGUAUCCAGGCAAGAUGGCCUCAAAUUAAGAUUUUAAUGACUCUUUGGUUUAGAAAGCACACUCUUGUGGUUAAUGCUAUCUUAUCAGGUGUCAUUUUUUAAUUCACAGGUGAAAGUUAAAAAAAAUUCAUACUUGCACAAACACUUGCCUCUGUGUGUUUGCAUGUAUGUGUGUGUUAAGGAAGAAAUGCAUAGUGCCUACAGGAAGUAAGGGCAAAAUAAUUUCAAGGACUGAGAGUUUCUGGAAUUACCUUAUGGUAAAGGCAAUUAUGUGCUGCAUUUUAACAAGGUUAAAAGCAUCCACACCCAAAUACUGACUCAAGGAGAAUAUGGGCCCCACAAGACCUUGUGAGUUUCAAAUGUACAUUUAAAUGUUAU